GGAUGUGAGGGUAAUCUGUCUGUGAUAUGUGUCAGUCCAUUGUUCUCCAGGAUUGAAUCUGCUGAUCUGGCUAAAGCAGGUGUUGCCUUCCUCCAUCCCCACUCCAUGUGCAUCCCUCCUAUAUCUUGUGUAAGAGGUUGGCCUUCACCAAUGGCAAAGAACCAAUCUCCUUGUUCUUUGACCAGAGUCUCCAAACUCUCUGAGCAGCCACAGCAAAGGCGGUGCAGUUAUCUGUCUGCAGCCUGU
RNAcentral lists this small RNA (246 nucleotides) under Microtus ochrogaster (prairie vole). RNAcentral describes it as "7SK RNA (ENSMOCG00000009672.1)". The stretch from base 1 to 176 matches the Rfam family "7SK RNA". From Rfam's summary of the family: 7SK was discovered as an abundant small nuclear RNA in the mid-70s but a possible function has only recently been suggested. Two independent studies have found that 7SK RNA binds the CDK9/cyclin T complex (known as elongation factor P-TEFb). The record is from RNAcentral. Lineage: Eukaryota; Metazoa; Chordata; Mammalia; Rodentia; Cricetidae.